GCCGCCUCUCUCCGCCGCCGGAGCCCUCGCUGGCAGGCGGCCGCCGUCCGCCGCGGAGGGGUUAAGCACUUGAAAAGCCCAUCUUGUCGGCUGCUGCCACAGUUUCCAAAGCUUUAACAUCUUCAGGUGAGAGGCUACAGCACGCUGCUGCACUGCUCCAGCAUGGGUCGGCAUGAAAAGAAUUGUUGUUCUAUGAAAAGAAUAGAAGUUCCUCAGAUGUGAGAUACGCUCUGUUAUUACCUGCACUCAGUGUCUUUUACAUUCUUCACUUGUCUGCUUUUAAUGUGCCGCCAAAUUAGCAUACCAAGCUGUAGAUGUUCAUUUACAUUUUGCUCUCCAAGCAAACAAAUAGAAAAGAAGUUAUUUCCUUUCCCAGAUUUUUACAAGUAUCAAGCGAUGUAUUUGAAUUUCUGUUAUUACUCCUAAAACCUUUUUCUGAUUAUUUUCACAGAAAUGCAAGAAUAAAUUUUGAAAAUAAAUAUGAUCUCAGAUUCAUUACCUUAAAGUAUCUAUCUUUUCCAAUACUUUCAACCAUUCAUUUUCUUUCUCUUUACUAAAAUUCAGCCUUACAAAUUUUCUUCUGCUUUGCACAAAGGCUCAUCUGUUACAGAGUGUUUGUAUAUUACUGGAAAAAAUGCUGUACCUAAUUACAAUUCUUAUGACGUUCCUCAAUUUAUAUCUGUUUAAUACAGCUCUCUUAUUUCAUUUAAGGAACCAUUUUUCCCCAGUGUAAAAUGUCACCAUCAAUACUGCAUUUGAUGAUGUUACAUAUCAAUCUUCUAUGUGAUUCUAAAUCAAAAGGCCUCUAUGUAGUCAGCUUCGGAUGUCUCCUACUUCACACCUGUCAGUUUUUAUUGUCUUUCCCAUGAAGAAGUUAAUCAUGUUUGUUAAACAGUUUUCCCUUUAUACAUCCAUGCUGACUAGUGCGUAUCUGUUUAUGUUUCCCAGUUAUCUUUCCAAAUAAUUAC
This is a non-coding RNA of Phalacrocorax carbo (great cormorant), 968 nucleotides long. NCBI's taxonomy places the organism in Eukaryota, Metazoa, Chordata, Aves, Suliformes, Phalacrocoracidae. The record is from RefSeq and is a predicted model, not a curated record.